AGUCACAGAUGGCGACUGGACGGUUUGGGAAGAUUGGAGAGCAUGCAGUGUAACAUGUGGAACUGGCUAUACUACUCGAAUACGGACAUGUUCAAACCCUCGACCGUCGAAAAUGGGACGAUAUUGUGACGGUACCUCUGUGGAAGUUCGGUCCUGUAAUAAUACGUCGUGUUCAGUCACAGAUGGCGUUUGGACUGGUUGGGAAGAUUGGGGAGCAUGCACUGCAACAUGCGGAGCUGGUAUUACUACUCGCAUACGGACAUGUUCGAACCCCCGACCAUCGAUAAUGGGACGAUAUUGUGACGGUACCUUUGUUCAAGUGCAAAUCUGUAACAGUGGUUUCUGCUCAGUAACAGAUGGCGGGUGGACAAAUUGGGGAAAUUGGGGAGUUUGCAGUGUAACCUGUGGUGUCGGCUUAAUCACCUGAUCAAGAACUUGUUCAAAUCCGCAGCCUUCGUUAACAGGGAGAUAUUGUGACGGUACCUCUGAACAAAUGAAAAUAUGCAAUGAUAUUCCAUCUUCAGGUGACAGUGUUGGCUUUUCUGUGCACGACCCACAGACUAAUUCUGGAGGAAAUCCACUGACAUUCCGCACAACACUUUAUAAUAACAACGAUGCAUUUAACAUGACGUCGGGUAAAUUUGUCUGCCAGAAAGAAGGACUCUACGUAUUCAUAAGCACGCUUCUAAGAACAUAUAAUACCACUAGUUCUAUAACUUGCGAUUUUUAUAAAAAUGACGACCCGACCCUCGCGUAUGGUAGUUUCGCUAGUAGCAACAGCUUACGUGACAACCCAUCAAGUACGAGUUCAAUUUUGUAUCAUUUAAAGCCAGGUGAUCAUGUUUAUCUGGGUUCAUGCAAGGGCAUGAGUUAUAUGGCUAAGGCUUCAGGUUUUACAGGCUUUCUAAUUAAUCCCAUGCACUAAAAUGACUGGUCGCUGUUUUGAAAUGACUGGCCGCUGCUUUGAAAUGACUGGUCGCUGCUGAUGAUUUAUACAUGUGACAUGACUUAAAUUAGUUCAUGAUAAGACUCUUCGCAGUAACUGUUACAACAUCGCCGUGGGAAUCGCAUGACCAAAAUAAUCUCCAAACCAAAAACAAAACAAAAAUAAUAAGAAAAAUGAUGGAUAAAUUUAAAGCAAAUUUUCCUGUAAGUCUAAAAUAUAGCCCAUUUCAUGGCAACAUAGAUGUACUCUAAAACUACAUAGAUGUACUCUUAAACUACAUAUAUUUAUAUUACAAUCACCUUCUGAUAACCUGGAACACGUGAAGAAACCGAGACAUUUUAUCAACGUAAGUGUUUGUAAUUACAAGAAAUCUAUCAUCACUGGAAUCCUCAUAAUAAAGAUUAUUUUGAUCUUGUGAUUCCCUAAACUGAACAUGUAUUAUAAUAAUGCUAAUCUUCAUUGUUGACAUUUGAAGUCCAAGCCAGGCGAAAAACUAGCGUUUAACUUUUUAAAUGAAAACGCCAUGUUAACAAUACUAAAAGUCUACUUACGAUUUCUGAAAUCACCAAAUAUUCUGAUUUGCUUUAACAUACAGGUAAGUGAAAUGCAAUGUAAUUGUUUAAAGCUAGAAAAAUAAACGAAUCAAAAUGAAAUUUGGAAUUUAAAUACUAAUAAAUUGUGCUUUUGUGUUGUUUGAAUUUAUCUUAGGUAAUAAUAUAAUUCCUGCAAGCAUUAAGUGUAGAAAGCGUAAUCAGAUCCACCCACAACUUAACAGACUAGUUUCCAUUAUACAUCCUUCUUUAGCCCUCAGAUUAAGUGCAUUAUUUGUGGUUGCUUUAUUUUACAUUAUUCUACCAGAUUUUUAUAGCACCCUUUUUCAUAAUACUCAGGUACAAUAGCGCUUUACAUAGCGCAAAGGCUGUCACAUGCGGUUUCGGCAUUUCCCGUUUUUUAGGGUUAAGCUAUAUCUACGUCUGAAGAAUGCCGAAUUUAAAGAUAGUACGGUAUCAUACGGAAAUAGCAGCUGAGUGCCA
Mercenaria mercenaria is the source of this 1980-nucleotide long non-coding RNA. RefSeq lists it as uncharacterized. The transcript is spliced from 4 exons. Lineage: Eukaryota; Metazoa; Mollusca; Bivalvia; Venerida; Veneridae. The record is from RefSeq and is a predicted model, not a curated record.